Molecule: ribosomal RNA, 723 nt
Filed under: bacterium IMCC11386
Lineage: Bacteria
Description: bacterial SSU rRNA
Rfam family: Bacterial small subunit ribosomal RNA
Source: RNAcentral
AUUGAACGCUGGCGGCAGGCCUAACACAUGCAAGUCGAGCGCGAAAGUUUCUUCGGAAGCGAGUAGAGCGGCGGACGGGUGAGUAACGCGUAGGAAUCUACCCAGUAGUGGGGGACAACUCGGGGAAACUCGAGCUAAUACCGCAUACGCCCUAAGGGGGAAAGCAGGGGAUCUUCGGACCUUGCGCUAUCGGAUGAGCCUGCGUCGGAUUAGCUUGUUGGUGAGGUAAUGGCUCACCAAGGCGACGAUCCGUAGCUGGUCUGAGAGGAUGAUCAGCCACACUGGGACUGAGACACGGCCCAGACUCCUACGGGAGGCAGCAGUGGGGAAUAUUGGACAAUGGGGGAAACCCUGAUCCAGCCAUGCCGCGUGUGUGAAGAAGGCUCUAGGGUUGUAAAGCACUUUCAGUAGGGAGGAAAAGUUGAUAGCUAAUAACUGUCAGCCCUGACGUUACCUACAGAAGAAGCACCGGCAAACUCCGUGCCAGCAGCCGCGGUAAUACGGAGGGUGCGAGCGUUAAUCGGAAUUACUGGGCGUAAAGCGCGCGUAGGCGGUUUGAUAAGCUGGAUGUGAAAGCCCCGGGCUCAACCUGGGAACUGCAUCCAGAACUGUCUGACUAGAGUACAGUAGAGGUGAGUGGAAUUUCCUGUGUAGCGGUGAAAUGCGUAGAUAUAGGAAGGAACAUCAGUGGCGAAGGCGGCUCACUGGACUGAUACUGACGCU